RNAcentral lists this ribosomal RNA (3086 nucleotides) under Salmonella enterica. RNAcentral's name for it is "bacterial LSU rRNA". It matches the Rfam family "Bacterial large subunit ribosomal RNA". The record is from RNAcentral. Lineage: Bacteria; Pseudomonadati; Pseudomonadota; Gammaproteobacteria; Enterobacterales; Enterobacteriaceae.
UUAAGCGACUAAGCGUACACGGUGGAUGCCCUGGCAGUCAGAGGCGAUGAAGGGCGUGCUAAUCUGCGAUAAGCGCCGGUAAGGUGAUAUGAACCGUUAUAACCGGCGAUACCCGAAUGGGGAAACCCAGUGUGAUUCGUCACACUAUCAUUAACUGAAUCCAUAGGUUAAUGAGGCGAACCGGGGGAACUGAAACAUCUAAGUACCCCGAGGAAAAGAAAUCAACCGAGAUUCCCCCAGUAGCGGCGAGCGAACGGGGAGGAGCCCAGAGCCUGAAUCAGCAUGUGUGUUAGUGGAAGCGUCUGGAAAGGCGCGCGAUACAGGGUGACAGCCCCGUACACAAAAGCGCAUGUGCUGUGAGCUCGAUGAGUAGGGCGGGACACGUGGUAUCCUGUCUGAAUAUGGGGGGACCAUCCUCCAAGGCUAAAUACUCCUGACUGACCGAUAGUGAACCAGUACCGUGAGGGAAAGGCGAAAAGAACCCCGGCGAGGGGAGUGAAAAAGAACCUGAAACCGUGUACGUACAAGCAGUGGGAGCCCCACCACUAAGCCAGUGGUGAACUCCACAUCCGCAUCCUUUGCUGAGGAUACGGUUAACGGAGCGAAAGCGACGUUCAACCGCAAAACAAGCAGAGGGGGCUUAGUGGUGGGGUGACUGCGUACCUUUUGUAUAAUGGGUCAGCGACUUAUAUUCUGUAGCAAGGUUAACCGAAUAGGGGAGCCGGAGGGAAACCGAGUCUUAAUUGGGCGUUAAGUUGCAGGGUAUAGACCCGAAACCCGGUGAUCUAGCCAUGGGCAGGUUGAAGGUUGGGUAACACUAACUGGAGGACCGAACCGACUAAUGUUGAAAAAUUAGCGGAUGACCUGUGGCUGGGGGUGAAAGGCCAAUCAAACCGGGAGAUAGCUGGUUCUCCCCGAAAGCUAUUUAGGUAGCGCCUCGUGAAUUCAUCUCCGGGGGUAGAGCACUGUUUCGGCUAGGGGGCCAUCCCGGCUUACCAACCCGAUGCAAACUGCGAAUACCGGAGAAUGUUAUCACGGGAGACACACGGCGGGUGCUAACGUCCGUCGUGAAGAGGGAAACAACCCAGACCGCCAGCUAAGGUCCCAAAGUCAUGGUUAAGUGGGAAACGAUGUGGGAAGGCCCAGACAGCCAGGAUGUUGGCUUAGAAGCAGCCAUCAUUUAAAGAAAGCGUAAUAGCUCACUGGUCGAGUCGGCCUGCGCGGAAGAUGUAACGGGGCUAAACCAUGCACCGAAGCUGCGGCAGCGAACGUAUCACUUAAAGCGAUUCAGCGGGUUACGAUUGACGGAGCGAAGCGACGUCAAAGCGUAUACAAAGUCGAGUCGGUUUAAGGAUACGUUCGUUGGGUAGGGGAGCGUUCUGUAAGCCCGUGAAGGUGGCCUGUGAGGGUUGCUGGAGGUAUCAGAAGUGCGAAUGCUGACAUAAGUAACGAUAAAGCGGGUGAAAAGCCCGCUCGCCGGAAGACCAAGGGUUCCUGUCCAACGUUAAUCGGGGCAGGGUGAGUCGACCCCUAAGGCGAGGCCGAAAGGCGUAGUCGAUGGGAAACGGGUUAAUAUUCCCGUACUUGGUGUUACUGCGAAGGGGGGACGGAGAAGGCUAUGUUGGCCGGGCGACGGUUGUCCCGGUUUAAGCGUGUAGGUGUGUGUUCCAGGUAAAUCCGGUUCACUUUAACACUGAGGCGUGACGACGAGGCACUACGGUGCUGAAGCAACAAAUGCCCUGCUUCCAGGAAAAGCCUCUAAGCAUCAGGUAACAUCAAAUCGUACCCCAAACCGACACAGGUGGUCAGGUAGAGAAUACCAAGGCGCUUGAGAGAACUCGGGUGAAGGAACUAGGCAAAAUGGUGCCGUAACUUCGGGAGAAGGCACGCUGACAUGUAGGUGAAGUGAUUUACUCAUGGAGCUGAAGUCAGUCGAAGAUACCAGCUGGCUGCAACUGUUUAUUAAAAACACAGCACUGUGCAAACACGAAAGUGGACGUAUACGGUGUGACGCCUGCCCGGUGCCGGAAGGUUAAUUGAUGGGGUCAGCGCAAGCGAAGCUCCUGAUCGAAGCCCCGGUAAACGGCGGCCGUAACUAUAACGGUCCUAAGGUAGCGAAAUUCCUUGUCGGGUAAGUUCCGACCUGCACGAAUGGCGUAAUGAUGGCCAGGCUGUCUCCACCCGAGACUCAGUGAAAUUGAACUCGCUGUGAAGAUGCAGUGUACCCGCGGCAAGACGGAAAGACCCCGUGAACCUUUACUAUAGCUUGACACUGAACAUUGAGCCUUGAUGUGUAGGAUAGGUGGGAGGCUUUGAAGUGUGGACGCCAGUCUGCAUGGAGCCGACCUUGAAAUACCACCCUUUAAUGUUUGAUGUUCUAACGUGGACCCGUUACCCGGGUUGCGGACAGUGUCUGGUGGGUAGUUUGACUGGGGCGGUCUCCUCCUAAAGAGUAACGGAGGAGCACGAAGGUUGGCUAAUCCUGGUCGGACAUCAGGAGGUUAGUGCAAUGGCAUAAGCCAGCUUGACUGCGAGCGUGACGGCGCGAGCAGGUGCGAAAGCAGGUCAUAGUGAUCCGGUGGUUCUGAAUGGAAGGGCCAUCGCUCAACGGAUAAAAGGUACUCCGGGGAUAACAGGCUGAUACCGCCCAAGAGUUCAUAUCGACGGCGGUGUUUGGCACCUCGAUGUCGGCUCAUCACAUCCUGGGGCUGAAGUAGGUCCCAAGGGUAUGGCUGUUCGCCAUUUAAAGUGGUACGCGAGCUGGGUUUAGAACGUCGUGAGACAGUUCGGUCCCUAUCUGCCGUGGGCGCUGGAGAACUGAGGGGGGCUGCUCCUAGUACGAGAGGACCGGAGUGGACGCAUCACUGGUGUUCGGGUUGUCAUGCCAAUGGCACUGCCCGGUAGCUAAAUGCGGAAGAGAUAAGUGCUGAAAGCAUCUAAGCACGAAACUUGCCCCGAGAUGAGUUCUCCCUGAGACUUAGAGUCUCCUGAAGGAACGUUGAAGACGACGACGUUGAUAGGCCGGGUGUGUAAGCGCAGCGAUGCGUUGAGCUAACCGGUACUAAUGAACCGUGAGGCUUAACCUU